Molecule: non-coding RNA, 85 nt
Filed under: Nitratidesulfovibrio vulgaris
Lineage: Bacteria; Pseudomonadati; Thermodesulfobacteriota; Desulfovibrionia; Desulfovibrionales; Desulfovibrionaceae
Description: Desulfovibrio vulgaris ZTP sequence
Rfam family: ZMP/ZTP riboswitch aptamer (pfl RNA motif)
About the family: Previously known as pfl RNA. ZMP is also known as AICAR.
Source: RNAcentral
AUGAUGCCGCGCGACUGGCGAGAAAGUGGAGCAACACCACGAGGGAGCGCGGCAUACGUCAGCGCCGCUCGCCUGGGCCGCAUCG